Molecule: ribosomal RNA, 242 nt
Filed under: Vibrio parahaemolyticus
Lineage: Bacteria; Pseudomonadati; Pseudomonadota; Gammaproteobacteria; Vibrionales; Vibrionaceae
Description: partial 23S ribosomal RNA
Rfam family: Bacterial large subunit ribosomal RNA
Source: RNAcentral
ACACAGGUGGUCGGGUAGAGAAUACCAAGGCGCUUGAGAGAACUCGGGUGAAGGAACUAGGCAAAAUGGUACCGUAACUUCGGGAGAAGGUACGCUCUCGACGGUGAAGUCCCUCGCGGAUGGAGCUAUUGAGAGUCGCAGAUACCAGGUGGCUGCAACUGUUUAUUAAAAACACAGCACUGUGCAAAAUCGUAAGAUGACGUAUACGGUGUGACGCCUGCCCGGUGCCGGAAGGUUAAUUG